RNAcentral lists this ribosomal RNA (253 nucleotides) under uncultured bacterium. RNAcentral's name for it is "partial 16S ribosomal RNA". It matches the Rfam family "Bacterial small subunit ribosomal RNA", at positions 524 to 776 of the family's 1533-position model. The record is from RNAcentral.
UACGGAGGGAGCGAGCGUUGUUCGGAAUUACUGGGCGUAAAGCGUGCGCAGGCGGCUUGACAAGUCAGAAGUGAAAUCCCAGGGCUCAACCUUGGAAUUGCUUUUGAAACUGUCAGGCUAGAGUAUCGGAGAGGUUGGCGGAAUUCCCAGUGUAGAGGUGAAAUUCGUAGAUAUUGGGAGGAACACCAGUGGCGUAAGCGGCCAACUAGACGAUAACUGACGCUCAGGCACGAAAGCGUGGGGAUCAAACAGG